GCCUAAGGCCAUGCUACCCUGAACGUGCCUGAUCUCCCCUGAUCUCAGAAGCUAAGCAGAGUCAGGCCUGGUUAGUACUUGGAUGAGAGAUCACCUAGGAAUACUGGGUGCUGUAGAUG
This 119-nucleotide ribosomal RNA is filed under the name Pteropus alecto (black flying fox). The record is from RNAcentral. Lineage: Eukaryota; Metazoa; Chordata; Mammalia; Chiroptera; Pteropodidae.